Molecule: transfer RNA, 85 nt
Filed under: Cordylochernes scorpioides
Lineage: Eukaryota; Metazoa; Arthropoda; Arachnida; Pseudoscorpiones; Chernetidae
Description: tRNA-Thr
Rfam family: tRNA (bases 17-78)
About the family: Transfer RNA (tRNA) molecules are approximately 80 nucleotides in length.
Source: RNAcentral
GUCCACUUGGCUACCUGGUAGCCGAGUGGACAAGGCACCUGCCCGGUAAGCAGAAGGGUGUGGGUUCGAUUCCCGCCCCUGGACA